AUUGAACGCUGGCGGCAUGCUUUACACAUGCAAGUCGAACGGUAACAGGUUAAGCUGACGAGUGGCGAACGGGUGAGUAAUGCAUCGGAACGUGCCCGAUCGUGGGGGAUAACGCAGCGAAAGCUGCGCUAAUACCGCAUACGAUCUGAGGAUGAAAACGGGGGACCGUAAGGCCUCGCGCGAUCGGAGCGGCCGAUGUCAGAUUAGGCAGUUGGUGGGGUAAAGGCCCACCAAGCCGACGAUCUGUAGCUGGUCUGAGAGGACGACCAGCCACACUGGGACUGAGACACGGCCCAGACUCCUACGGGAGGCAGCAGUGGGGAAUUUUGGACAAUGGGCGAAAGCCUGAUCCAGCAAUGCCGCGUGCAGGAAGAAGGCCUUCGGGUUGUAAACUGCUUUUGUACGGAGCGAAAAGGUCCUUUCUAAUACAAGGGGCUCAUGACGGUACCGUAAGAAUAAGCACCGGCUAACUACGUGCCAGCAGCCGCGGUAA
This 493-nucleotide ribosomal RNA is filed under the name uncultured bacterium. RNAcentral's name for it is "partial 16S ribosomal RNA". It matches the Rfam family "Bacterial small subunit ribosomal RNA", at positions 29 to 523 of the family's 1533-position model. The record is from RNAcentral.